RNAcentral lists this ribosomal RNA (200 nucleotides) under uncultured bacterium. RNAcentral describes it as "partial 16S ribosomal RNA". It matches the Rfam family "Bacterial small subunit ribosomal RNA", at positions 8 to 212 of the family's 1533-position model. The record is from RNAcentral.
AGAGUUUGAUCCUGGCUCAGGACGAACGCUGGCGGCGUGCUUAACACAUGCAAGUCGAACGAUGAAGCCCUUCGGGGUGGAUUAGUGGCGAACGGGUGAGUAACACGUGGGCAAUCUGCUUCACUCUGGGACAAGCCCUGGAAACGGGGUCUAAUACCGGAUAUCAGCCUUGCAGGCAUCUGUGAGGUUUGAAAGCUCCG